GAUGAACGCUGGCGGCGUGCCUAAUACAUGCAAGUCGAGCGAACGGACGAGAAGCUUGCUCCUCUGAUGUUAGCGGCGGACGGGUGAGUAACACGUGGAUAACCUACCUAUAAGACUUGGAUAACUUCGUGAAACCGGAGCUAAUACCGGCUAAUAUUUUGAACCGCAUGGUUCAAAAGUUAAAGACGGUUUUGCUGUCACUUAUAGAUGGAUCCGCGCUGCAUUAGCUAGUUGGUAAGGUAACGGCUUACCAAGGCAACGAUGCAUAGCCGACCUGAGAGGGUGAUCGGCCACACUGGAACUGAGACACGGUCCAGACUCCUACGGGAGGCAGCAGUAGGGAAUCUUCCGCAAUGGGCGAAAGCCUGACGGAGCAACGCCGCGUGAGUGAUGAAGGUCUUCGGAUCGUAAAACUCUGUUAUUAGGGAAGAAAAUAUGUGUAAGUAACUAUGCACGUCUUGACGGUACCUAAUCAGAAAGCCACGGCUAACUACGUG
RNAcentral lists this ribosomal RNA (497 nucleotides) under uncultured bacterium. RNAcentral describes it as "partial 16S ribosomal RNA". It matches the Rfam family "Bacterial small subunit ribosomal RNA", at positions 28 to 507 of the family's 1533-position model. The record is from RNAcentral.